This 76-nucleotide transfer RNA is filed under the name Zoogloea ramigera. Its description in RNAcentral is "tRNA-Val". The record is from RNAcentral. Lineage: Bacteria; Pseudomonadati; Pseudomonadota; Betaproteobacteria; Rhodocyclales; Zoogloeaceae.
GGGCGGUUAGUUCAGCUGGUUAGAAUACUUGGUCGACAUCCAAGGGGUCGGGGAUUCGAAUUCUCACCGCCCACCA